AAAUUUUUAGACAAGUUGGGCAUGUGUGACAUCUAUGCACCAACUUGAGGGGGAGUGUUGAGAUAUUAGGAAUGUUUUUCGUAUAUCAUUCUUUCCUUAUAUUAUUUAGUGUUGAGAUAUUAGGAAUGUUUAAAUAUUAGGAAAGUUGAGAUAUUAAGAAUAUUGAGAUAUUAGGAAUAUUGAGAUAUUAGGAUAUUAGUUCUUAUUUCCUUAUAUCAUUCUUUCCUUGUAUCAUUCCUUCCCAUUCUUAGAAUGGUGAUUACCCUCUAUAUAUUCUCUG
RNAcentral lists this long non-coding RNA (280 nucleotides) under Vitis vinifera (wine grape). RNAcentral's name for it is "long non-coding RNA (VVIN_LNC004934)". Lineage: Eukaryota; Viridiplantae; Streptophyta; Magnoliopsida; Vitales; Vitaceae. The record is from RNAcentral.